CCGGGUACAACGCGAUGCGACACGGUGACGUGGGGCGGAUCGCUGAAAACCGGUCUCAGUUCGGAUCGCAGUCUGCAACUCGACUGCGUGAAGGCGGAGUCGCUAGUAAUCGCGGAUCAGCAACGCCGCGGUGAAUGCGUUCCCGGGCCUUGUACACACCGCCCGUCAAGUCAUGAAAGUGGGUAGCACCCGAAGCCGGUGGCCCGACCCUCGUGGGGGGGAGCCGUCUAAGGUGAGACUCGUGAUUGGGACUAAGUCGUAACAAGGUACC
Molecule: ribosomal RNA, 271 nt
Filed under: uncultured bacterium
Lineage: Bacteria
Description: partial 16S ribosomal RNA
Rfam family: Bacterial small subunit ribosomal RNA
Source: RNAcentral